GUGCAGCCUCAAUCCAGCCUAAAUUGUCCUCCAAGACCUGUCUGGGCCCCAGCAUGGUUUCUUGGCCCCCACCAGUGGCAGACAGAGGAUGGGAAUGCAAGCAUCUGGGGCCCUUUCUGAAAGCUUCCACCCUCAUCUGACAUGGUGCACAGGCAGAACGGCGCAGGAGAGGGUGUCCAAUCCAUCGUCCUCAAUGAAGGCAUCAGAGAUCUUCAUUCCCACCUCUAUUAAAACUGACGGAGAUCGGUUACAGCCACCGAGCAUGCGCGCAAGCACGCCGCAGUCCUCGUUUCACUUGCUUUUCAUGACCCUGCCAGACAGGUGGCGAGCCUUUCUCAUGCCCACAGCGCAGAUGAAGCACGGCCUGGAAACAAGAAGGAACUUAGUCCAGACCCCAUCAAGGACUCCUGACAUCUGGAGAGCACGGAGAGCACCUGAACCCAGGCGGGAUGAUGCACCCAGGUCUGCCAGGGAUCCGGGGAAACCACGAUUCUGUUUAUCACCUUGA
This 508-nucleotide long non-coding RNA is filed under the name Oryctolagus cuniculus (rabbit). RNAcentral describes it as "lncRNA (ENSOCUG00000031753.1)". Lineage: Eukaryota; Metazoa; Chordata; Mammalia; Lagomorpha; Leporidae. The record is from RNAcentral.